UCCUGUGUGGCUCAGUUGGUAGAGCAUGGUGUUUGCAACACCAGGGUUGGGGGUUCAAUUCCCACGGGGG
Molecule: non-coding RNA, 70 nt
Organism: Salmo salar (Atlantic salmon)
Lineage: Eukaryota; Metazoa; Chordata; Actinopteri; Salmoniformes; Salmonidae
Source: Rfam